AGAAGAAAGAGGGUGAGGAAGAAAAGGACAAGGAUAAGCCAAAGAUUGAAGAUGUUGGAGAGGAUGAAGAUGAGGAUAAGAAAGAUGAGAAAAAGAAGAAAAAAACUAUCAAAGAGAAGUACACUGAUGAAGAAGAGUUGAAUAAGACUAAACCAAUUUGGACACGCAAUCCUGAUGAUAUCAGUCAAGAAGAGUAUGGUGAAUUCUACAAGUCUCUUACAAAUGACUGGGAGGAUCAUUUAGCAGUGAAGCAUUUCAGCGUUGAAGGGCAACUGGAGUUUCGUGCACUGCUGUUCGUCCCAAGACGUGUGCCAUUUGAUCUCUUUGAAAAUAAGAAGAAAAAGAACAAUAUCAAACUCUAUGUAAGAAGGGUCUUCAUCAUGGACAACUGCGAAGACCUCAUUCCAGAGUACCUGAACUUCAUCAAAGGUGUUGUAGAUUCAGAAGACUUGCCUUUGAACAUUUCUAGAGAGAUGUUACAACAGAACAAAAUCCUUAAGGUUAUUCGUAAAAAUCUGGUUAAAAAGUGCCUAGAACUAUUUGAAGAACUUUCUGAAGAUAAAGAUCUGUACAAGAAAUUCUAUGAGCAAUUCUCUAAGAACAUGAAGUUGGGCAUCCAUGAAGACACCCAAAAUAGAGCAAAACUAGCAGAUCUGUUAAGGUAUCA
This 667-nucleotide unclassified non-coding RNA is filed under the name Hevea brasiliensis (rubber tree). The record is from RNAcentral. Lineage: Eukaryota; Viridiplantae; Streptophyta; Magnoliopsida; Malpighiales; Euphorbiaceae.